AUUGAACGCUGGCGGCAUGCCUUACACAUGCAAGUCGAACGGUAACGGGCCUUCGGGUGCCGACGAGUGGCGAACGGGUGAGUAAUACAUCGGAACGUGCCCGAUCGUGGGGGAUAACGAGGCGAAAGCUUUGCUAAUACCGCAUACGAUCUACGGAUGAAAGCAGGGGACCGCAAGGCCUUGCGCGGACGGAGCGGCCGAUGGCAGAUUAGGUAGUUGGUGGGAUAAAAGCUUACCAAGCCGACGGUCUGUAGCUGGUCUGAGAGGAUGAUCAGCCACACUGGGACUGAGACACGGCCCAGACUCCUACGGGAGGCAGCAGUGGGGAAUUUUGGACAAUGGGCGCAAGCCUGAUCCAGCCAUGCCGCGUGCAGGAUGAAGGCCUUCGGGUUGUAAACUGCUUUUGUACGGAACGAAAAGCCUUCUUUUAAUACAGGAGGGUCAUGACGGUACCGUAAGAAUAAGCACCGGCUAACUACGUG
RNAcentral lists this ribosomal RNA (482 nucleotides) under uncultured bacterium. Its description in RNAcentral is "partial 16S ribosomal RNA". It matches the Rfam family "Bacterial small subunit ribosomal RNA", at positions 30 to 507 of the family's 1533-position model. The record is from RNAcentral.